RNAcentral lists this non-coding RNA (28 nucleotides) under Rattus norvegicus (Norway rat). Lineage: Eukaryota; Metazoa; Chordata; Mammalia; Rodentia; Muridae. The record is from RNAcentral.
UGCUUAUGUCUCAACCUCUGAGUAUUGC